This 468-nucleotide ribosomal RNA is filed under the name uncultured bacterium. Its description in RNAcentral is "partial 16S ribosomal RNA". It matches the Rfam family "Bacterial small subunit ribosomal RNA", at positions 28 to 507 of the family's 1533-position model. The record is from RNAcentral.
GACGAACGCUGGCGGCGUGCUUAACACAUGCAAGUCGAACGGAAAGGCCCUGCUUUUGUGGGGUGCUCGAGUGGCGAACGGGUGAGUAACACGUGAGUAACCUGCCCUUGACUUUGGGAUAACUUCAGGAAACUGGGGCUAAUACCGGAUAGGAGCUCCUGCUGCAUGGUGGGGGUUGGAAAGUUUCGGCGGUUGGGGAUGGACUCGCGGCUUAUCAGCUUGUUGGUGGGGUAGUGGCUUACCAAGGCUUUGACGGGUAGCCGGCCUGAGAGGGUGACCGGCCACAGGGGUACUGAGAUACGGCCAAGACUCCUACGGGAGGCAGCAGUGGGGAAUAUUGCACAAUGGGCGGAAGCCUGAUGCAGCAACGCCGCGUGCGGGAUGACGGCCGUCGGGUUGUAAACCGCUUGCGCCUGUGACGAAGCGGGAGUGACGGUAAUGGGUAAAGAAGCACCGGCUAACUACGUG